GUUCUUGCUUCAGGAGCACAUAUACUAAUAUUGGAAUGAUACAGAGAAGACUAGCAUGGCCCCUGCUCAAGGAUGAUAUGCAAAUUCAUGAAACGUUUCAUAUUUUU
Molecule: small nuclear RNA, 107 nt
Filed under: Loxodonta africana (African savanna elephant)
Lineage: Eukaryota; Metazoa; Chordata; Mammalia; Proboscidea; Elephantidae
Source: RNAcentral